RNAcentral lists this ribosomal RNA (35 nucleotides) under Echinops telfairi (small Madagascar hedgehog). Lineage: Eukaryota; Metazoa; Chordata; Mammalia; Afrosoricida; Tenrecidae. The record is from RNAcentral.
AAUGCGCCUGAUCUUGUCUGAUCUCAGAAGUUAAA